RNAcentral lists this transfer RNA (70 nucleotides) under Heterocephalus glaber (naked mole-rat). It matches the Rfam family "tRNA". Rfam says of the family: Transfer RNA (tRNA) molecules are approximately 80 nucleotides in length. Their secondary structure includes four short double-helical elements and three loops (D, anti-codon, and T loops). The record is from Rfam by way of RNAcentral. Lineage: Eukaryota; Metazoa; Chordata; Mammalia; Rodentia; Bathyergidae.
GGGGGCAUAGCUCAGUAGUAGAGCAUAUGCUUAGCAUGCACAAGAUCUUGGGUUCAAUCCCCUGCCAGCA